UCUUCCCGGACCGGGGUACGAGCCUGCAUCCCCUGCAUCGGCAGGCGGACUCUCAACCACUGCGCCACCAGGGAAGCCCCUGUGUGAGAAUACUUUGAGUAUUUCUCCACUUUUCUAUCCACAACCCCUUAUACUUUCUCUGCCCUUUUUUUGUGGUGUUCUGUGCCCUCAGAGCUUUAUCUCUGCAGACUGCAUUGCCUAGAUCUCUUUGCCAGGUGGCGUUUGCCAAUGGGAGGUACCAGAAAUGUUGGGGUACCUCACUACCCUCCUUUAGGGUGCACCUGAUAGGCAAUAACUGGACACUGGUACACAUUGGCAGUGUUUCAUUUUCAUUUGGAGGAACAAUCUUGAGGAGGGUUGAUCUGAAGGCAGUUCCCAGCUCCUCCUGCCUUGAGCAAUUCAGCUCUCACCCCAAACCUGCAAACAUUGCAGAGAAAGUAUAAGGGGAGUGUGGAUAGAAAAGUGGAGAAGCACCAACCUGCCUUUCUUAGAGGUUGUAUUAACUUACAUUCCUGCAGCAAUAUAUAAAUAUGUUCAUUAAGCUAUUUCUUCUCCAACAUAGUGCAUUUUCAAAGUAUUGGAUCUUUUCCCAUCUGAUAGCUGGAAAAUGUAACAUUAUACUUUUAAUAGCUUUUCUCUUUUAAUAUAUGUGUUAAUAUUUUUCAAUGUUUUAAGGAUUAUUUAUAGUUUUCUUCAUUGAACAUCAGUAAUUUCACAUCCUUUGCCCAUAUAUUCUAUUAGAGGGCCUGUUUUUUUCUUAUCAAUUUACAGUGCUCUUUAUAUACUAAGGGAAUAGACCUUUCAUGUCUGUGCUUAAUUUAUGUGCUUUUUUCAGCUUAUCUUUUUCUUUUUUCAUUGUUUAUGUUUUUUUCCUGUGCAGACUUGUUUUUGUGUUGUCAAAUUAAUCACAUUUUCAGGGAGUAUGGACUUUAUGCCAUACUUAUGCCUUCUGUACAGUGAGAUUUUAUAUGUAUAUUUUUUCUAGUAACUACAUGAUUAAAAAAAUAAGUCUUUGAAUCAUCUGAAAUUUCUUUAGGUGUAAGGGUUGAGAUAUUCUGCUCCAAAUCACUACCAUUUUUCCUAACACCAUUUAUUGAAUAAUCACUUUUUAUCUCCUGACUUAUAAUUUCAUUUUUAUCAAAUGCCAAAUUCCGAAAUAUAUUUCAGUUUAAUUCUGGACUUUAUACUCCACCCCUUGUGCUGCCUGUCUGUUCAUGCACCAGUAACACUCUGCUUUAAUUAUACACUUCAUGGUGAGACAGGAAAUGUCUUACCUGACCCAUAAUUUAUUUAUGCAUUUUCCUACUAUUAUUGCAUGAACUUGUGUGCUCUACUUCAAAUUAAUUAUGAAAGCUGAUAUAAGGUAUUCUUCAGCUCUUAAAAAAAAUCACAAAGAAAGAAGAGGAGGUAAGGGAAACAUUCAGAUUCUUUUCCAUUCACGAACAUGAUUUUCAGUAUUUUGGAGGAAUCUUUUUAGUUUUUUCAGAUAUUUUUCAUAUUCUUUUUUUUUUUUUUUUCCAUACGCAGGCCUCUCACUGUUGUAGCCUCUCCCAUUGCAGAGCACAGGCUCUGGACGUGCAGGCUCAGCGGCCAUGGCUCACGGGCCCAGCCGCUCUGCAGCAUGUGGGAUCCUCCCGGACCGGGGCAAGAACCCGUGUCCCCUGCAUCGGCAGGCGGACUCUCAACCACUGCGCCACCAGGGAAGCCCCAUAUUCUUGAUUUUAUUAUUUACCACCUAGUAUAAUUAAGAAAAGAAAUGAGAUUUUGGAAUAAUCAAUACUUCUGUAACAAUUGUUGAUAUACACAUUCACUUCAGGAUCGGAGAAUGAUCUUUUUACAGAAAUCCAGAUUUUCAGAUCACUAAUCCUAGAAUAGAAUCUAAUUCUCCACCCUCUUAGAGUUGGCAUUCAAAUACCAGUUUUGUGCUUUAGUAGUUGAGUAAUCUUUGGCAAAGUUAUUUUAUUUCCUCUGCGUCUUUUUUUUUUUUUUAAUAAAAUGGAGAUGAUGUUGUGGGAUGUUCCCAUUUGCAAUUAUCCAGUGGCCACCAAAGGCUGAGUAGGCCAGCUCUGCCACUGAUGGAUGUGAAGACUCUUUGGCGCAGCACACCAUGUCUAUAGAAAGCUACAUGUAUUAAAAAUAAAGACUCACAGCUAAACCAAAACGUUCAAUUUCUGGGCCCCCUUUGAAGAAUAAGAAGAUUUCCCCCAUUUUCUCUUUAUGGCAGGAGAAUUAAAUUUGAUUAAGCCACAGUGAGGUUCUGGAGGAAGGUUCUUAGAGAAGAUGGGUCUUUCAAGGAGAGUCCUUCCAAGGGUGAAACUUCAUCCGCAUCACUGUGCUAGUUCUUAAUGGUCGAAAGCUGCCUAUCUACCAUUUUCCUGCUAUUGGAAUGUUCAUCUUCUCCCUCCUCCACUUAGUGCUGAGGCCAAGACAAGGAGCCACAGGGGCUUCAGGCCACCAACGGGCAUCCACCAAGGUUUGUCCCAAAGCUGGUCAUCACAGACCUAGGAGCGCUGCCCUUCAGAAGCCACAGUCCCCUGUGAAGCGUGCUGGUUUCUGAAUAAAGGGAGUGAGCAUUUUAGUUUGUGAGAUGUCAGGAUGCAGGAGAGCAUGUGAGACAUUAAGCAGUUUGGUGUGGUUGGCUGGACACCUGUAGGAAAUGGGUUGAGGAAGAUGAGGACCAGAUGGGACUGGGUCAAAAAUGGCUGGAAGUAAGACUAAACCCAACUAGCUGACUGGUCACUUUCUUCUUUGUGUCCUUACUCCACACUGCAUGGAUUUCUAUCCUGGUAUUUUUCAGAAUUGGUUAUACUUAUAAAAUAUAAGUUGCCUUUACUUCACUAUAAAACCCUGAGGAAGAAGAAUGUUUGUUGCAUUCCUUUCUAUCCCAAAUGGCCAAUACAGUGCUUGGCUCCACAGUACUAUACAGUAUUAUAUGAUUGUAGCCCAACUGGUUAUUAUGAGCAUGGAUAACAGAAUGAAAUAGACUUGGGACUGAGUCAUGACCUGUUACUACCAACCAUGACCUUGUACAACUUAAUUGCCUGAGCACCAGAAUAUUAGUAAUAAAAUAAUAAUAACUAAUAAUAAUUAUUAUUUUUAGUUAUUAUUAUAACAUUUCUUUAGAGUCAACUAUGUGCCAGGCAUUGAUAAACUUUUUACAUGCAUUGUCUUAUUUAAUUCUCAUAUAAACUGCAUCAUAGGUAUGAUUUUAUUCCAGUUAUUCAAUUGAUAAAUAGUAAUGCAUACAUAUUAUGACUCACUGAAGUUAUAGAUACUGAAAAAUAAAUAAAGUACUUAAAUUGUUGCUUGUUUGUUUUCCAUCUCAGUCUGAGCAAGAAAACUAAUGCCGAAGCUAGAUAAGCAGAACGUAGAUUGUCCCCAUGCAUUAGUUGUCUGCUACUGUGUAAUUACUCCAAAACGCAGUGGCUUAGAACAGCAGUAAACAUUUAUUAUCUCACACAGCUUUUGUAGGUCAGACGUCCAGGAGCAGCUUGACUGGGUAUUUCUGGCUCAGGCUCUCUUGUGAAAUUGUAGUCAAGAUUUUGGCUGGGAUGCAGUCAUUUGAAGGCUUCCUUGGGCUGGCGGAUCCACUUUGAAGAUGGUGCACUCACGUGCUCCACGAGUGAUUGCAGGCUGCUGACAAGAGGCUGCAGUUCCUUGCCAUAUGAUGUCUCCAUAGGGUUGCUUGAGUGUCCUCAUAACAUGGCAGCUGGCAUCUCACAGAUUGGGUGAUUCCAGAAAAGACAAGGCUAAAGCCACACUGACUUUUAUGACCUAGCCUUAAAAGCCAUACUCUGUCAUUUUGAAAUACUCCUUUAGUUAUACCCCUAUUCAAGAGCAUGAAAAUCAGGAAGCAAGACUCAUUGGAGGCCAUCUUGCAGAGUGCCUACUGCCAUGUGGGUUAAGAGGAUGAGAAAGAAAGAUCACAGCGUCAAGUCUACACAAAAGUUAGUAUGGCUCAAGACAGGUUGGGAUGAGUAGUUGAAAGCUAAAGAUAUGAACAAUGCAGAAGUGAGAGAAGCCAGAUUUUAUGUGGCUAUGUGUGUGUGUUUCAGGAUGGGGAACGUGACUUAAGUGAUCUACCUGUGUAGAGACGGACUUUCUUUGAAAACUUGAAUACCCUUUUUGAAAGAUUGGGUGGGGGAAAUGUACAGAGCAUGGAUAACGUUCAUCUCAGAUACACAAACAGGGGAAAAUGUAUAAACGAGACACAUCCUUCAGAAGAAAGUCUGAAAGUUAGUGACCUUUUACCAGACUCUUGUGUUUUAGAUAAAAGAGAAUGUGCUCCAGAUAAUGCCUGUAACUGGCCCAAAAGAUGAUGUCACUGAAUUGAACCUGCAAUUUAAGUAGAAAUAAAAGGAAAAAAAUAAAUCAUGACGAUAAAGAAGUAAUAAAGACCUGGUUUGAAAAACAAAAAUUCCUAUUCGGCAAUAUCUUGGGGAGGAAAAAAUGAUGGUAUUUAGAUCAGCAAAUCUGGGUCAAAUGCAUCUCAAGGAAUUAGCAGAAAAGAGUGGAGGGGGGAAAAACUGAGAUUUUUGAACAAGAAAUGCAUGGCUCCUGCAAAGAAGUUACAUACUUUUUAUUAUUUUCCAGCUCAAGUGAUUGACCUGCGUUCAUGGUCAAGUUCAGAGGUCAAUUUUGUGAUGGCUCAUCGAAUUAUAUCUAAAGUCCAGAGUCAUGUGGGCUCUUCCGUGGGGAUCCCUUCCCACCACCCCCGCCCUGCAGUCAUGCUGAGGAACAAAGCCAGGGCACUGCCCUCUCCUGACUCGCACACCAGAUCGUCCACAUGGGUACCUUGGGGAUUACCAUUAACUUUCUGAGGAAUCACGAGGCAGCCUGAAGUUAACCAGCACCUGGGAAAAAAUAAGACAGAUGUUAUUAUCUCCAUUUUAUUCACCGGAAAUCAAAGCUCAGAGAGAAAAAUGUGUGCCCAAGAUGUGCUGGCUUGUCACUGACUCACCAUUGCAGCUGCCUUGAGAGCAUCCUCAAAGGUCUCCUACAACUCAGAGUGUGGUAUGAAGAUUGGAAGCAUUAGCAUCACCUGACACCCAAUCUGCUAAGACGAGCAUCUGCAUUUUAACCAGACCCCCCAGAAGACAGGGUGUGAGAAGUGCUGCUCUGGACCACUGAGCUGGAGACUGAAAACUGCAUCUCCCAGACUCUACCAUCAGCUAGUGAUGUGUGGUCAGAUACUCUCUCAUGAUGCUGGGCAGUGACAGCUAGCUGCAACUCCCUCUCGGCCACAGACCUGAGGAUAAAUAAUCCAUACACCGACAACCGUUCUGUCUUCAUACUGAUUUCUGCAAAGUUUCUCUAGACCUAAGGAAGAUCCUUGAGGAGACGUGAUACUUAUUUGUGGAAUCACUCCUAGAGCUUUGCACGUGAACUGGAAUAUAUGAGACUCCUGAUUUGCGACAACCGCAGAUUUGUGAACUGCCACGACACAUCCCCUCGGAUCUGUGUUAUUCCUAAUUAAGGCCAGCAGAGACUUCUGCACAAGCUGCCUUCCAGCCUGGGGUGAGUCACAUCUUUAUGCCAUUUUUGCCCCAGCCUGCAUGUCUCUCUCAAUCUAAUGGGAGCAAUUACUUCACAAGAAUUGCCCGGUUGUUGUCAGGAACAUGGCAGUCUAGAGACAAUUUAGAAGAAAAACAACCUCAAGCCUUCCGGGGUAUACCAUGGCCUUUGUAUCCAAUUUGCUUUUCUGAAGAGAAAUCUCAGUCUGAAGCAUCUGCUUUUGGGUAAUUUGAUUAUACUCACAUCUCCUCCUGCAAAAAAAAAAAAA
This is a long non-coding RNA of Orcinus orca (killer whale), 5782 nucleotides long. RefSeq lists it as uncharacterized. The record is from RefSeq and is a predicted model, not a curated record. Lineage: Eukaryota; Metazoa; Chordata; Mammalia; Artiodactyla; Delphinidae. The transcript is spliced from 6 exons.